GGGGUUGUGGCUCAGUAGUAGAGCACUUGCCUAGCACAGGCAAGGUCCUGGGUUCGAUUCUCAGCACCA
This 69-nucleotide transfer RNA is filed under the name Urocitellus parryii (Arctic ground squirrel). RNAcentral's name for it is "Spermophilus parryii (Arctic ground squirrel) tRNA". It matches the Rfam family "tRNA". From Rfam's summary of the family: Transfer RNA (tRNA) molecules are approximately 80 nucleotides in length. Their secondary structure includes four short double-helical elements and three loops (D, anti-codon, and T loops). The record is from Rfam by way of RNAcentral. Lineage: Eukaryota; Metazoa; Chordata; Mammalia; Rodentia; Sciuridae. RNAcentral also lists the same sequence under 2 other names.